CUUUGUUGUUCUUUGUCUUAUUCUCUUGUUGUGGUUUUUCCCUGCUUGGGUUUUACUGUCCCUGUCUCUCUUGUUUGUAUCUCCUGUCUCUUGGUGGUGGGCAUUUCCCUCUCCCUGGCCACACCCUCAUUCUGGUGAGUUCCA
This is a long non-coding RNA of Thalassophryne amazonica, 144 nucleotides long. RefSeq lists it as uncharacterized. The transcript is spliced from 3 exons. The record is from RefSeq and is a predicted model, not a curated record. Lineage: Eukaryota; Metazoa; Chordata; Actinopteri; Batrachoidiformes; Batrachoididae.